CGGUGGGGCGGUUGUCCCACCUGACCCCAUGCCGAACUCAGAAGUGAAACGCCGUAGCGCCGAUGGUAGUGUGGGGUCUCCCCAUGCGAGAGUAGGACACUGC
This 103-nucleotide ribosomal RNA is filed under the name Serratia sp. SSNIH4. The record is from RNAcentral. Lineage: Bacteria; Pseudomonadati; Pseudomonadota; Gammaproteobacteria; Enterobacterales; Yersiniaceae.